Molecule: ribosomal RNA, 271 nt
Filed under: uncultured bacterium
Lineage: Bacteria
Description: partial 16S ribosomal RNA
Rfam family: Bacterial small subunit ribosomal RNA
Source: RNAcentral
UCUAUGUCGGCGACCGGCGCACGGGUGCGUAACGCGUAUGCAACCUACCCAUUACAGGGGGAUAACACUGAGAAAUCGGUACUAAUACCCCAUAACAUCCAGGGAGGCAUCUUCUUGGGUUGAAAACUCCGGUGGUAAUGGAUGGGCAUGCGUUGUAUUAGUUAGUUGGUGGGGUAACGGCUCACCAAGAUAACGAUACAUAGGGGGACUGAGAGGUUAACCCCCCACAUUGGUACUGAGACACGGACCAAACUCCUACGGAAGGCAGCAG